GCUCCAAUAGCGUAUAUUAAAAGUUGUUGCAGUUAAAAAAGCUCGUAGUUGGAUUUCUGGUGGGAGGGAACCGUCCGAUCUCAGAUUGGUGCGUGUUCCUCUCCGGCCAUCCUUGAGUCUAACCUCCUUGGCAUUAAGUUCGAGGUGGGGUGAUACUCAUCGUUUACUGUGAAAAAAAUUAGAGUGUUCAAAGCAGGCUU
RNAcentral lists this ribosomal RNA (200 nucleotides) under uncultured eukaryote. RNAcentral's name for it is "partial 18S ribosomal RNA". It matches the Rfam family "Eukaryotic small subunit ribosomal RNA", at positions 588 to 787 of the family's 1831-position model. The record is from RNAcentral.